Molecule: ribosomal RNA, 434 nt
Filed under: uncultured bacterium
Lineage: Bacteria
Description: bacterial SSU rRNA
Rfam family: Bacterial small subunit ribosomal RNA
Source: RNAcentral
GACGAACGCUGGCGGCGUGCUUAACACAUGCAAGUCGAACGGUAAGGCCCUUCGGGGUACACGAGUGGCGAACAGGUGAGUAACACGUGGGUGAUCUGCCCUGCACUUCGGGAUAAGCCUGGGAAACUGGGUCUAAUACCGGAUAGGACUCCUGGCUUCAUGGUUGGGGGUGUAAAGCUUUUGCGGUGUGGGAUGGGCCCGCGGCCUAUCAGCUUGUUGGUGGGGUAAUGGCCUACCAAGGCGACGACGGGUAGCCGGCCUGAGAGGGUGACCGGCCACACUGGGACUGAGAUACGGCCCAGACUCCUACGGGAGGCAGCAGUGGGGAAUAUUGCACAAUGGGCGCAAGCCUGAUGCAGCGACGCCGCGUGAGGGAUGACGGCCUCGGUUGGUAACCUCUUUCAAUAGGACGAAGCGCAAGUGACGGUACCUAU